GAUGAACGCUGGCGGCGUGCCUAAUACAUGCAAGUCGAGCGAACGGACGAGAAGCUUGCUUUUCUGAUGUUAGCGGCGGACGGGUGAGUAACACGUGGAUAACCUACCUAUAAGACUGGGAUAACUUCGGGAAACCGGAGCUAAUACCGGAUAAUAUUUUGAACCGCAUGGUUCAAAAGUGAAAGACGGUCUUGCUGUCACUUAUAGAUGGAUCCGCGCUGCAUUAGCUAGUUGGUAAGGUAACGGCUUACCAAGGCAACGAUGCAUAGCCGACCUGAGAGGGUGAUCGGCCACACUGGAACUGAGACACGGUCCAGACUCCUACGGGAGGCAGCAGUAGGGAAUCUUCCGCAAUGGGCGAAAGCCUGACGGAGCAACGCCGCGUGAGUGAUGAAGGUCUUCGGAUCGUAAAACUCUGUUAUUAGGGAAGAACAUAUGUGUAAGUAACUGUGCACAUCUUGACGGUACCUAAUCAGAAAGCCACGGCUAACUACGUGCCAGCAGCCGCGGUAAUACGUAGGUGGCAAGCGUUAUCCGGAAUUAUUGGGCGUAAAGCGCGCGUAGGCGGUUUUUUAAGUCUGAUGUGAAAGCCCACGGCUCAACCGUGGAGGGUCAUUGGAAACUGGAAAACUUGAGUGCAGAAGAGGAAAGUGGAAUUCCAUGUGUAGCGGUGAAAUGCGCAGAGAUGUGGAGGAACACCAGUGGCGAAGGCGACUUUCUGGUCUGUAACUGACGCUGAUGUGCGAAAGCGUGGGGAUCAAACAGGAUUAGAUACCCUGGUAGUCCACGCCGUAAACGAUGAGUGCUAAGUGUUAGGGGGUUUCCGCCCCUUAGUGCUGCAGCUAACGCAUUAAGCACUCCGCCUGGGGAGUACGACCGCAAGGUUGAAACUCAAAGGAAUUGACGGGGGCCCGCACAAGCGGUGGAGCAUGUGGUUUAAUUCGAAGCAACGCGAAGAACCUUACCAAAUCCUGACAUCCUUUGACAACUCUAGAGAUAGAGCCUUCCCCUUCGGGGGACAAAGUGACAGGUGGUGCAUGGUUGUCGUCAGCUCGUGUCGUGAGAUGUUGGGUUAAGUCCCGCAACGAGCGCAACCCUUAAGCUUAGUUGCCAUCAUUAAGUUGGGCACUCUAAGUUGACUGCCGGUGACAAACCGGAGGAAGGUGGGGAUGACGUCAAAUCAUCAUGCCCCUUAUGAUUUGGGCUACACACGUGCUACAAUGGACAAUACAAAGGGCAGCGAAACCGCGAGGUCAAGCAAAUCCCAUAAAGUUGUUCUCAGUUCGGAUUGUAGUCUGCAACUCGACUACAUGAAGCUGGAAUCGCUAGUAAUCGUAGAUCAGCAUGCUACGGUGAAUACGUUCCCGGGUCU
RNAcentral lists this ribosomal RNA (1372 nucleotides) under uncultured bacterium. RNAcentral describes it as "bacterial SSU rRNA". It matches the Rfam family "Bacterial small subunit ribosomal RNA", at positions 28 to 1381 of the family's 1533-position model. The record is from RNAcentral.